GAUGAACGCUGGCGGCGUGCCUAAUACAUGCAAGUCGAGCGAACAGACGAGGAGCUUGCUCCUCUGACGUUAGCGGCGGACGGGUGAGUAACACGUGGAUACCCUCCUUUUAGAACGGGGUUACCUUCGGAAACCGGGAGCUAUUACGGGAUAUUUUUUUAACCGGAUGGUUUAAUUGUUAAAGACGGUUUUUCCUGUCCCUUUAGAUUGAUCCGCGCCGCAUUAGCUAGUUGGUAAGGUAACGGCUUACCAAGGCAACGAUGCGUAGCCGACCUGAGAGGGUGAUCGGCCACACUGGAACUGAGACACGGUCCAGACUCCUACGGGAGGCAGCAGUAGGGAAUCUUCCGCAAUGGGCGAAAGCCUGACGGAGCAACGCCGCGUGAGUGAUGAAGGUCUUCGGAUCGUAAAACUCUGUUAUUAGGGAAGAACAAAUGUGUAAGUAACUAUGCACGUCUUGACGGUACCUAAUCAGAAAGCCACGGCUAACUACGUG
RNAcentral lists this ribosomal RNA (496 nucleotides) under uncultured bacterium. RNAcentral describes it as "partial 16S ribosomal RNA". It matches the Rfam family "Bacterial small subunit ribosomal RNA", at positions 28 to 507 of the family's 1533-position model. The record is from RNAcentral.